UUAUUUAUAGUAUAAAUAGUACAUUUGUCUUCCAAACAAAAAGUCCUCUAAUUGGUAAAUAAG
This 63-nucleotide transfer RNA is filed under the name Diopatra cuprea. RNAcentral's name for it is "tRNA-Gly". Lineage: Eukaryota; Metazoa; Annelida; Polychaeta; Eunicida; Onuphidae. The record is from RNAcentral.